AGUGAACGCUGGCGGUAGGCCUAACACAUGCAAGUCGAACGGCAGCACAGUAAGAGCUUGCUCUUACGGGUGGCGAGUGGCGGACGGGUGAGGAAUACAUCGGAAUCUACUUUUUCGUGGGGGAUAACGUAGGGAAACUUACGCUAAUACCGCAUACGACCUACGGGUGAAAGCAGGGGAUCUUCGGACCUUGCGCGAUUGAAUGAGCCGAUGUCGGAUUAGCUAGUUGGCGGGGUAAAGGCCCACCAAGGCGACGAUCCGUGGCUGGUCUGAGAGGAUGAUCAGCCACACUGGAACUGAGACACGGUCCAGACUCCUACGGGAGGCAGCAGUGGGGAAUAUUGGACAAUGGGCGCAAGCCUGAUCCAGCCAUACCGCGUGGGUGAAGAAGGCCUUCGGGUUGUAAAGCCCUUUUGUUGGGAAAGAAAAGCAGCAGGUUAAUACCCCGCUGUUCUGACGGUACCCAAAGAAUAAACACCGGCGAACUUCGU
Molecule: ribosomal RNA, 491 nt
Filed under: uncultured bacterium
Lineage: Bacteria
Description: partial 16S ribosomal RNA
Rfam family: Bacterial small subunit ribosomal RNA
Source: RNAcentral